RNAcentral lists this ribosomal RNA (422 nucleotides) under Fusobacteriota bacterium. RNAcentral's name for it is "Fusobacteria bacterium partial 16S ribosomal RNA". It matches the Rfam family "Bacterial small subunit ribosomal RNA", at positions 355 to 776 of the family's 1533-position model. The record is from RNAcentral. Lineage: Bacteria; Fusobacteriati; Fusobacteriota.
UGGGGGAUUUUGCACAAUGGGCGCAAGCCUGAUGCAGCGACGCCGCGUGAGGGAUGAAGGCCUUCGGGUUGUAAACCUCUUUCGCUGGGUUGAAAGGCCAUGCUUUGGGUGUGGUUGAUUUGAACUGGUAAAGAAGUACCGGCUAACUACGUGCCAGCAGCCGCGGUAAUACGUAGGGUACUAGCGUUGUCCGGAUUUCUUGGGCGUAAAGGGCUUGUAGGUGGUUUGUCGCGUCUGUCGUGAAAUCCUGUGGCUUAACCAUGGGCUUGGGGUGGGUAAGGGCCGGCUUGAGUGCGGUAGGGGAGACUGGAAUUCCCGGUGUAGCGGUGGAAUGCGCAGAUAUCAGGAGGAACACCGGUGGCGAAGGCGGGUCUCUGGGCCGUUACUGACACUGAGGAGCGAAAGCGUGGGGAGCGAACAGG